Molecule: unclassified non-coding RNA, 231 nt
Filed under: uncultured fungus
Lineage: Eukaryota; Fungi
Description: sequence contains ITS1, 5.8S rRNA gene
Rfam family: 5.8S ribosomal RNA (bases 183-231)
Source: RNAcentral
UCUCCGUAGGUGAUCCUGCGGAGGGAUUAUUACUGAGUGAGGGCUCACGCCCGACCUCCAACCCUUUGUGAACCAAACUUGUUGCUUCGGGGGCGACCCUGCCGACGACUUCGUCGCCGGGCGCCCCCGGAGGCUCAUCAAACACUGCAUCUUUGCGUCGGAGUCUUAAUGAAUUUGAACAAAACUUUUAACAACGGAUCUCUUGGUUCUGGCAUCGAUGAAGAACGCAGC